CCCAACCGACGGGCGGAGGCGCUUAGCGGUCCGCGUGAGGGCGGCCCUCCCACCCUCUGAUUGGCGGAGAGACGCCGCAAGGAGCAGCGCGCGCAGGGCCGGCCGGACCGAGACUCCGGGAGCCAGAGGAUAUUGGGGUUGAGCUUCCUGGGAGCCCAGGCUGAGCAGCUGCUGCUCCCCCAGCGGGAUCGGGGCUGGGGAGUGACCUCUGCGCCCAGCCAAGCAAUUGCAGGAGCCGAUCCAGCCAUAGGAGAGCGAACCCCCAGGAUUGGUUGUCAGCCAGAGUGGGAGAGACGGGGGAAGGGAGACACAAGGAGAAAAAGGCAAGAGAGACUGAAAAGGGCAGUGGGAGAAAUAAUUGGGAGAGAGAUUCCCCAAUUUCUGACCGGCCCCACACACUUAUUAUCGCAUCCCUGGGCAGAUUCACUUUGCUAUGAACAAGGUGAGGUGCAGGAGGAGGAAAAGCCAGUU
Molecule: long non-coding RNA, 471 nt
Organism: Terrapene triunguis (Three-toed box turtle)
Lineage: Eukaryota; Metazoa; Chordata; Testudines; Emydidae
Exons: 3
Source: RefSeq, a predicted model, not a curated record